AAACCGUUACCUGUUCCUUUGCAGCCUACGCAUGCUGACGCAGCUCCCUACUCAUUAUAUACAGUAUGUAUUUCCAGCUUUUCCUGCCAAUACAGAUAUGCAUUUCAAUUAUUUGUGCUGUAUAGCCAAAGAUAUACUGAAGGAGCUCUGAAAAAAACACAUGCCCAUGGUGAGUGAUUCUUUAAAGAAGUAUUUCCUUGGUUUGCAUAAUGCCAGUGGUUGCCUUUUAGAAUUAAAACUAAAGACAGUGAGUUGCAUUUGACUAAAAAAUAAUCUGUUAUGUGGAUUAACUGUUCUGCCACACUCCAAAAUACCUCUAUCUCAAUUAUAGCUCAAAUAAAUCAUCACAAUACUAAGAUAAUAAGAGAAAUGAUUGCUUCACUGACAUAACAGAUUAAAAUUAUUUUAUCCUACUGUAGAUAUCCAUCCAAUGAGAUAAGAAGGUAACGGUAUCCAGUUGUGGAGAUUUUUUUUUAUUAUCCAGUGUUCCACAUUGUCAAGGAAUUACAUUUGUUCAAGGAGGCCUACGGUUUUCCUACAAGUGCAAUUUCAAAAUAAAUGAAUGAAUACGAGUGCUUGUAGAUAUUGUCCUCAGGAGCUUGUAAGGUGUUUCACUGGCCUGUUUGCAAAGGAAUGGAGCCUCACAGAGCCAGGGAGGUGAAGAAGAUCUGCUUCUGCAAUUGCAAAGGACUUACACCUGUCUCCAUGGCAUCAGAUCUCUUCCUGUAGUGCAGAUCCCCCAGAGGAUUUUUUUUUUAGUUUAUUCUCCUCAACAAGUCUGGAAAAAGUACCGUGUGUUAAAUAUCGCCUACUCAACUCAGUCUGCUUGAAAAGUGUUUCAAACCCAGAAGUUUGCCUAAUCCGACUUCCUGCAUUCAACCAACGUAGGCGGCAGCAGUGAGCAGAAAACAAAUCCUGUUGCGUAGCGGAUUGAGACUGAACUCCAGCAGUCUCGCUUCAGGGGGUUUGACUAGGUCAUUCUGUGCGCAAACUCGGUCUGA
This is a non-coding RNA of Lepisosteus oculatus (spotted gar), 1001 nucleotides long. The record is from RefSeq and is a predicted model, not a curated record. Lineage: Eukaryota; Metazoa; Chordata; Actinopteri; Semionotiformes; Lepisosteidae.